RNAcentral lists this ribosomal RNA (407 nucleotides) under uncultured bacterium. Its description in RNAcentral is "partial 16S ribosomal RNA". It matches the Rfam family "Bacterial small subunit ribosomal RNA", at positions 30 to 526 of the family's 1533-position model. The record is from RNAcentral.
AUUGAACGCUGGCGGCAGGCCUAACACAUGCAAGUCGAGCGGAGCGGCGGACGGGUGAGUAAUGCUUAGGAAUAUGCCUGGUAGUGGGGGAUAACGUCCGGAAACGGGCGCUAAUACCGCAAACUAUCCGAUGAGCCUAGGUCGGAUUAGCUAGUUGGUGGGGUAAAGGCCUACCAAGGCGACGAUGCGUAACUGGUCCGAGAGGAUGAACAGUCAAGCUGGAACUGAGACACGGUCCAGACUCCUACGGGAGGCAGCAGUGGGGAAGAUUGGACAAUGGGCGAAAGCCUGAUCCAGCCAUGCCGGGUGUGUGAAGAAGGUCUUCGGUUUGUAAAGCACUUUAAGUUGGGAGGCGUUACCAGCAGAAUAAGCACCGGCUAACUUCGUGCCAGCAGCCGCGGUAAUAC